AGCGAACGCUGGCGGCAGGCUUAACACAUGCAAGUCGAGCGGGCACUUCGGUGUCAGCGGCAGACGGGUGAGUAACACGUGGGAACGUACCCUUUGGUUCGGAAUAACGCUGGGAAACUAGCGCUAAUACCGGAUACGCCCUUUUGGGGAAAGGCUUGCUGCCGAAGGAUCGGCCCGCGUCUGAUUAGCUAGUUGGUGGGGUAAUGGCCUACCAAGGCGACGAUCAGUAGCUGGUCUGAGAGGAUGAUCAGCCACACUGGGACUGAGACACGGCCCAGACUCCUACGGGAGGCAGCAGUGGGGAAUAUUGGACAAUGGGCGCAAGCCUGAUCCAGCCAUGCCGCGUGAGUGAUGAAGGCCUUAGGGUUGUAAAGCUCUUUUGUCCGGGACGAUAAUGACGGUACCCGAAGAAUAAGCCCCGGCUAACUUCGUG
This 433-nucleotide ribosomal RNA is filed under the name uncultured bacterium. RNAcentral describes it as "partial 16S ribosomal RNA". It matches the Rfam family "Bacterial small subunit ribosomal RNA", at positions 29 to 507 of the family's 1533-position model. The record is from RNAcentral.